UGCAAGUCGAGCGAGCUGAAUUCAAAGAUUCCUUCGGGAUGAUUUGUUGGACGCUAGCGGCGGAUGGGUGAGUAACACGUGGGCAAUCUGCCCUAAAGACUGGGAUACCACUUGGAAACAGGUGCUAAUACCGGAUAACAACAUGAAUCGCAUGAUUCAAGUUUGAAAGGCGGCGCAAGCUGUCACUUUAGGAUGAGCCCGCGGCGCAUUAGCUAGUUGGUGGGGUAAAGGCCUACCAAGGCAAUGAUGCGUAGCCGAGUUGAGAGACUGAUCGGCCACAUUGGGACUGAGACACGGCCCAAACUCCUACGGGAGGCAGCAGUAGGGAAUCUUCCACAAUGGACGCAAGUCUGAUGGAGCAACGCCGCGUGAGUGAAGAAGGUUUUCGGAUCGUAAAGCUCUGUUGUUGGUGAAGAAGGAUAGAGGCAGUAACUGGUCUUUAUUUGACGGUAAUCAACCAGAAAGUCACGGCUAACUACGUGCCAGCAGCCGCGGUAAUACGUAGGUGGCAAGCGUUGUCCGGAUUUAUUGGGCGUAAAGCGAGCGCAGGCGGAAUGAUAAGUCUGAUGUGAAAGCCCACGGCUCAACCGUGGAACUGCAUCGGAAACUGUCAUUCUUGAGUGCAGAAGAGGAGAGUGGAAUUCCAUGUGUAGCGGUGGAAUGCGUAGAUAUAUGGAAGAACACCAGUGGCGAAGGCGGCUCUCUGGUCUGCAACUGACGCUGAC
RNAcentral lists this ribosomal RNA (725 nucleotides) under Lactobacillus delbrueckii subsp. bulgaricus. RNAcentral describes it as "bacterial SSU rRNA". It matches the Rfam family "Bacterial small subunit ribosomal RNA", at positions 56 to 750 of the family's 1533-position model. Lineage: Bacteria; Bacillati; Bacillota; Bacilli; Lactobacillales; Lactobacillaceae. The record is from RNAcentral.